Ostrea edulis (European flat oyster) is the source of this 602-nucleotide long non-coding RNA. RefSeq lists it as uncharacterized. The record is from RefSeq and is a predicted model, not a curated record. Lineage: Eukaryota; Metazoa; Mollusca; Bivalvia; Ostreida; Ostreidae. The transcript has 2 exons.
GAUCCACCUCUGCAAUGACAGUGUGCAGUUGUGGCCCUUAGCGGAACUCUUCAUAUCUGUUUGUAGCGAAGACAACAGACGAACAGUGAAGCGAUUUACCUGCAAUUCUCCUGAAACCCUCCUUGACUUUGGUAGCCAUUUCAUCGACGGGGAAUUGUAUCAAAUUGAUAAAAACAUCAAUAAUGGCCUUGGCAACAGAUUUAACUGCCCUUCCAGCGCUGCACUCAGAAACAUUUAAACUGUCUCCAAUAAGACGUAAGUGUGCUCCUGUAGCCACGAAACGUAAAAACAACAAGACUUUGAUAAGUGGGGGAAUAGCCCGAUUUCUGGCAGUGUCUGAUUGAAGUCUCUCGCCGAUUCCAUCAAUAAUGAAAUAUAUAUUUGCUGGCGUGAAACGGUAUCUCUGGAAGAUAUCUUCCUCUUCUAAACUCUCUAAGGGAUUACUGAGGUCCCGAAAUACACGGGAGCGCCUUAAAACCGGCAGAUUCUGCCUACGACGACGUCGACGCCUUACCAUGGCAGCCAUUUUCAAUCCUUGAGAAUAUUCUUAAGUCUGCAUUUUUGUAGACUCAAAUAUUUGAGAAUAAAACAGACUUUGAGAA